GAUAAACGCUGGCGGCGUGCUUAACACAUGCAAGUCGAACGAAGUUUUUCCUUCGGGAGACACUUAGUGGCGGACGGGUGAGUAACGCGUGGGUAACCUGCCCUGUACAGGGGGACAACAGCUGGAAACGGCUGCUAAUACCGCAUAAGCCCUUAGCACUGCAUGGUGCAUAGGGAAAAGGAGCAAUCCGGUACAGGAUGGACCCGCGUCUGAUUAGCCAGUUGGCAGGGUAACGGCCUACCCAAGCGACGAUCAGUAGCCGAUCUGAGAGGAUGUACGGCCACAUUGGGACUGAGACACGGCCCAGACUCCUACGGGAGGCAGCAGUGGGGAAUAUUGCACAAUGGAGGAAACUCUGAUGCAGCGACGCCGCGUGAGUGAAGAAGUAUUUCGGUAUGUAAAGCUCUAUCAGCAGGGAAGAAAAUGACGGUACCUGACUAAGAAGCACCGGCUAAAUACGUG
Molecule: ribosomal RNA, 462 nt
Filed under: uncultured bacterium
Lineage: Bacteria
Description: partial 16S ribosomal RNA
Rfam family: Bacterial small subunit ribosomal RNA
Source: RNAcentral